Molecule: ribosomal RNA, 495 nt
Filed under: uncultured bacterium
Lineage: Bacteria
Description: partial 16S ribosomal RNA
Rfam family: Bacterial small subunit ribosomal RNA
Source: RNAcentral
GAUGAACGCUAGCGGGAGGCCUAACACAUGCAAGCCGAGCGGUAUUUGUCUUUCGGGACAGAGAGAGCGGCGUACGGGUGCGGAACACGUGUGCAACCUGCCUUUAUCUGGGGGAUAGCCUUUCGAAAGGGAGAUUAAUACCCCAUAAUAUAAUGAAUGGCAUCAUUUAUUAUUGAAAACUCCGGUGGAUAGAGAUGGGCACGCGCAGGAUUAGAUAGUUGGUGAGGUAACGGCUCACCAAGUCGAUGAUCUUUAGGGGGCCUGAGAGGGUGAGCCCCCAAAAUGGUACUGAGACACGGACCAGACUCCUACGGGAGGCAGCAGUGAGGAAUAUUGGACAAUGGGUUAGCGCCUGAUCCAGCCAUCCCGCGUGAAGGACGACGGCCCUAUGGGUUGUAAACUUCUUUUGUACAGGGAUAAACCUACUCUCGUGAGAGUAGCUGAAGGUACUGUACGAAUAAGCACCGGCUAACUCCGUGCCAGCCGCCGCCGUAA